AAGGAUUUAAGUUAAAUAUAAACUAGUAACCUUCAAAGUUACCAAUAAAAGGUAUUAAGCCUUA
This 64-nucleotide transfer RNA is filed under the name Diaphanes mendax. Its description in RNAcentral is "tRNA-Trp". Lineage: Eukaryota; Metazoa; Arthropoda; Insecta; Coleoptera; Lampyridae. The record is from RNAcentral.